AGAGUUUGAUCCUGGCUCAGAAUGAACGCUGGCGGCGUGCUUAACACAUGCAAGUCGAACGCGAAAGCCCCUUCGGGGGCAAGUAGAGUGGCGAACGGGUGCGUAACACGUGAGAAUCUGCCUCUUAGUGGAGGAUACCUUCGAGAAAUCGAAGUUAAUACUGCAUACGUCCCUUCGGGGAGAAAGGUGGCCUCUUGCUACCGCUAAGAGAUGAGCUCGCGGGCUAUUAGCUUGUUGGUGAGGUAAUGGCUCACCAAGGCUGUGAUGGCUAGCCGACCUGAGAGGGUGAUCGGCCACACUGGAACUGAGAUACGGUCCAGACUCCUACGGGAGGCAGCAGUGGGGAAUAUUGGACAAUGGGCGAAAGCCUGAUCCAGCGACGCCGCGUGGAGAAUGAAGGUCUUCGGAUUGUAAACUCCUGUUAAGUGGGAAGAAAAGCGUACGGUUAAUACCCGUACGUGUUGACGGUACCACUAAAGAAAGCUCCGGCUAACUUCGUGCCAGCAGCCGCGGUAAUACGAAGGGAGCGAGCGUUAUUCGGAAUCACUGGGCGUAAAGGGCGUGUAGGCGGUUGAUUAAGUCAGUUGUUAAAUCCCUCGGCUUAACCGAGGAUAUGCAAUUGAAACUGAUCGACUAGAGCACAGAAGAGAGGAGUGGAAUUAUCGGAGUAGCGGUAAAAUGCGUAGAUCUCGAUAGGAACAUCGAUUGCGAAGGCAGCUUCUUGGUCUGUUGCUGACGCUCAAGCGCGAAAGCGUGGGUAGCAAACAGGAUUAGAUACCCUGGUAGUCCACGCUGUAAACGAUGAUCACUAGGUGUGGGUUCUGCUUUGCGGGAUCCGUGUCGUAGCUAACGCGUUAAGUGAUCCGCCUGGGAACUACGGUCGCAAGAUUAAAACUCAAAGGAAUCGACGGGGGUCCGCACAAGCGGUGGAACAUGUGGUUCAAUUCGACACUACGCGAGAAACCUUACCUGGGCUUGACAUGUUUCUGAUCGCUGUAGAAAUACAGUUUUCCAAGGUUUCCUUGGACAGAUACACAGGUGCUGCAUGGCUGUCGUCAGCUCGUGUCGUGAGAUGUUGGGUUAAGUCCUCUAACGAGCGCAACCCUUGCCGCCAGUUGCAACUUCUUCGGAAGGCACUCUGGUGGGACUGCCCCGGAAACGGGGAGGAAGGUGGGGAUGACGUCAAGUCCUCAUGGCCCUUAUGUCUAGGGCAACACACGUGUUACAAUGGUUAGAGUACAAUGGGAUGCAAACUUGCGAGAGUGAGCAAAUCCCUUAAAACUCGCCUAAGUUCGGAUUGGAGUCUGCAACUCGACUCCAUGAAGUUGAAAUCGCUAGUAAUCGCGUAUCAGAACGACGCGGUGAAUACGUUCUCGGACCUUGUACACACCGCCCGUCACAUCACGAAAAUCGUUUGAACCCGAAGUCAUCUUAGCCAACCGUAAGGGGGCGGGUGCCUAAGGUUUAGGGGGUAAUUGGGGUGAAGUCGUAACAAGGUA
Molecule: ribosomal RNA, 1499 nt
Filed under: metagenome
Description: bacterial SSU rRNA
Rfam family: Bacterial small subunit ribosomal RNA
Source: RNAcentral